CGUGUAGGCGGCCGGAUAAGUCGGGUGUGAAAGCCCGGGGCUCAACCCCGGGAUGCCGCCCGAGACUGUGUGGCUUGAGGACGGAAGAGGGGCGUGGAAUUCCUGGUGUAGCGGUGAAAUGCGUAGAGAUCAGGAGGAACACCCGUGGCGAAGGCGGCGCCCUGGUCCGUUACUGACGCUGAGACGCGAAAGCGCGGGGAGCGAAG
RNAcentral lists this ribosomal RNA (206 nucleotides) under uncultured bacterium. RNAcentral's name for it is "partial 16S ribosomal RNA". It matches the Rfam family "Bacterial small subunit ribosomal RNA", at positions 568 to 773 of the family's 1533-position model. The record is from RNAcentral.